ACAGCACUGAAUUUCAGUUUGGAUAAUUCAUCAUCCCAUUUGAACCUGAAAGUUGAAGAUACCUUGGUAGAGUGGGAUCCUACUGGAGGAAAAGGUCAAGAAAGUAAAAUCAAAGGGAAAGAGAACAAGGGCAGGUAACGUAGCUCAUUAAAUCUGUUAUAUGGAUAAAUGCUUGUACAUUGGUUCUUAUUUGAUAACAUUAAAAUUCUUAUUCUGUAUACCAGUAUGACUUAUGAUACAUUAGUAAUUCCAAAGUGAAAAAUAUAACAUUGCUUGUCAAUACAUGAAUCUGUCAUUAACAUUUUCACAUUACUUUUUUCUUAGUUUCUUUCCUAAUCUCCUUAUACUUUUAAAAAAUUUUAUUAUCCCAUUUCCUUAAAGUUAUAUAUACGGUAACUUGAACUAAUUAGAUGUUCCUAGAAUAAUUUCUGAAUAUUGGGCUUAUCACCUAUCUCACCUAAAAGUCUGCAUUAGAUGACAACUUUUACAGUUUAUAAAAGCCCCACAGACUUGCCUGUGAUGGUGGAACCCAGUGAAUCCAAGAGUCAGGCUCAAGAAUCUUUUGUUAUUGUCAUAACUUACCUAAAUAAUGUCAAAGUUUGGGAACUUUUUUCUUUUUUUACACAGGAAGUUUUUGCUGAAGAUGAAUAUUUUUGUGAGUUCUAACAAUGAAUUUUUAAAAAAUCCUCAGCAGGCUUUUAAUCUAAUUUUAUUAUAAGAAGUUAAACUUAAUUUGUAAAGCAGUCUCUUAACAGUUGCCUAUUUUUAUCUGACAGUGUCCAUGUUACUUCACUGAAGAAACAUACAAGGUGAUGAUCUAUGUCUGUCUAGUUUUAGGACUUAGUAUAUCUAGCUUGGCUGAGUAAUUUUUUCUUUUAACCAGUAAACAGAAGCCACUGCAGCAGGCUUCAAAGCUAAAAUAUUGCUCUGUGUAGACUGUCUGUAUUUUUGUAGCUUAUGUUUUGAAUUUAUAGCAUUAUAGUGUGCUGCUUAUCAUUUGGAUUAUAUUGUAUAAAGAUAACAAAAUAAGCUUUAAAGUCUUCUUUAAUUAUUUUUUCUACUUUAUUUAUAACUGGCAUCUUUCCUAUUGUAUUGAGUUAAAUAUAUCUAACAUUAUUGCUUUGCUUUUUUUAAUAUGUUUAGUUGUUGAUGGACCUUUAUUUUAUUUAUUUAUUUAUAUGUAGGACUAAGAAUUGACCCCAGUGCCUUACACACAUGCUAGGCAAGUGCUCUACCACUGAGCUACCAUCCCAGCCCUUGUGUUUUUUUUUUAAUAUUUAUUUUUUAGGUUAGAUGGACUCAACACAAUGCCUUAUUUUAUGUGGUGCUGAGGAUCGAACCCAGGUCCCGCCUGUGUUAGGCGAGCGCUCUACCGCUGAGCCACAAUCCCAGUCCCCAGCCUUUGCUUUGCUUUUAUUUGUAUUCAACACGAAGCAAGUUUGAAAUGUUCUGUAUUUUAUAAUAAUCAUGCAGCUUCCAAAGUAUCAAGGUUAAGAAAUAAAAGUCACUGCAGAAAUUAUUAGGACAGUGUCAGAAAAAAAUGAAUAAUUUCAAAUUACAUGGUUAAUAACAUGUUUAUUGAAGAUACCGUAUAUCUUUACCAGAAACCAGAAUAUAUUCUCUUUUCAAAGUUACCUCCACUCUUCUUUUCAGUUUAUUUGUUCAUUAUUGAUAAAAGUGAUUUCACAGUGUGCUAUAAAUUAUAAAAUGCUGUUGGGUUUAAUAGUCUUACAAAGUUUUAUUUGGUUACUUGGACGAUUUUUAGACUGCUUUGUAUUUAGCAUUGCAGGUUAUAUUUCUUUCUCUCUUUUCUCCUUUUAAAAGUAUUUUAUAUGUAGGCCACUUCCGGAAUGUUAUACAGGUUCGGAUCCCUUAUUUGAAAUGCUUGGGACUCAAAAAGUGCUUUGGAUUUCAGAUUUUUUUGUAUUUUAGAAUAGUUGCAAAUACAUAAUUAAUUAUAUUUGGUGGGGACCCAAUUCUAAAUCCAGAAUUCAUUUAUGUUUCACAUAUACCUUGGUGGGGACCCAAUUCUAAAUCCAGAAUUCAUUUAUGUUUCACAUAUACCUUUAUAUAUAUAUGUACAUAGGUAAUUUUAUAUAAUAUUUUUUUAAUGUAUCUAUAUUUUGGCUGUGUCUUGUCACAUGAGCUCAGGUGUGGGAUUUUUUUAUUUGUAAUUAUGUUGGUGCUUAAAAAGUUUCCAAUGUCAGAGCAUUUCAGAUUUUUGGAUUAGAGCUGCUCAAACUACAUAUAUUCAUUUACUUUAAAAAAAAAAAAAAAACAUGGUGUCAUUAAAAAAAAAAAAACUUUUAUUUUGUUUAUUUAUUUAUUUAUUUAUUUUUAUGUGGUGCUGAGGAUCAAACUAAGUGCCUCACACGUGCUAGGCAAGUGCUCUACCACUGAGCCACAACCCCAGCCCUCUUUCAUUUUUUUAUUUUUUCAUACAUAAUUGUUCACUGUUAAAUGUGUGCUGAAUGUUAUGGAGUUUAUAGGGAUAAACACUGUUCUUGCCUCAAGAAAUUUGCUUUAACUCAUGUAGAUAAGAUUGCAGAAAAAAAGCAAGAUAAACAUCAUGUGUAAGGAUAAAUGUGAAUAAAAGGGUUCAGAGGGGAAAGAUGUCCAGAGUUCUCGGGUACUGCGGUAUUCAUUUAGGACAGUGAGCCAAACUGAAAGUCAAGCUUUUGCUGAUUUAUGGUGAUAAGUAAGAAGUCAUGAAGGAAUGAGUGGGUUCCUUCAGUGUUCCAUUUUUCCCAGCAAAUGACACUAGUUGGAGGUCCAAUGACUCAACCCAGAUCACAGUUAGAGGGUCUUCUCACUGCCAGGAGGUUCCAAAUAGAAAACUUCUGCUUUAUGGACUUGAGAGCUAAAAAGGUAGGGACAAGAGGGUUAAAAAUGGAAACAUACUAAGUGAAAGGUCCUUACCGCCUUAUUUGCUCUUAAGGAGGUCUUCCUGAAGGUAUUUAAAAAGAAUCUCAGUAUAGGGUUUCCUUCCCAUGGGGGGCCUUUGAAUAGAGUGACAAGGCUAGGAAUGCAAAUAGCUCACCGUUGGGGAAGAAGAUGAAAUUGCAACUUCCUGUAGAAAUCAUGAUGCCCUAACUAACUAUGCACCAAGUCUGGUAUAAGAAGGGCAGCCCACCCUAUCCUUUGUCCUACCCCUGCAAAUCCUGUCACAUAAAGCCUGUGUAAUUGCCUGUGAUUGAGUAUGAAAGGAUUUUGGCCUGGACUGGAUUGCUAAGAAAAGUUAUUUAGAUGGUAGGAUUUGGAAGACCUUUACUAAAUGAAUGGUAUUAAAUUGCUUCUUGGGGAAGAGGGAGAAUUUGUGGUAUUCAGCUUUGCAGUGAGAGUGGGGAACAACAAGAGGAAAAACACUUAAGCAGACUGAGUGAGUUUAAAGAACCCUUUGGUACAUUUGGUUGUGUAAUACUCUCUAGGGUGAGAAGGGUAGGAAGGCGGACUAAAUCAUUUGUAGAUAAUAUGGAAGUACAUGUUGAUUUUGAAGUAGGGGAAUAGAGCUAAGUUUAUCUUAUAAUAGUGAACAAGAUGAACUGGAUAACAGAAAGAACAUUUGGGAAACUGUAAAAUAAUUUGACCCAAGGAACCUUUAUGAAGCGAGGUGGGAGGUCAUGUUUUUACUUAAGAUGUUAAUAACUAUUGUACCUCUUGCAAAAAUGUACUUAAGAGUUGGAAUGCAGCAAUGGAAGAGUAACCCUCUAACUUUUCUCUGAAACUCAACUGCCAUUCUCAAUAGUUACGACUGUUUUUCUUUUCUCCAUGCUUCCCUUUGUUUCUUUACUACUGGUAAGUCACAAUUUUUUUUCUUAAAAAAUAUUUUUCUGGCUAUCAAGUGAGCUCUUAUAUUUUGAAGCAGUGCUAAGUAAAAAUUUUGUNCUCAUGAGGCUGAGGCAGGACUAUCUCAGGUUCAAAGCCAGCCUCAACAAUUUAGCAAGGUCUGAAGCAACUAAGUGAAAAACCCUAUCUCUAAAUAAAACAUAAAAAGGGUUGGGGAUGUGACUCAGUGGUUCAGCACCCCUGGUUCAAUCCUGGUGUCAAAAAAGGAAAGGAUUAAUUAAAACUACUUAUUUUACAUAAUUAUCAACAUUCAGAGUUGAAUUAACUUGGAAGGAGGAAGAUUAAUGUGCAAUUAAUAUUUUGGUGACUUUGUGAAUUGGGCAAUUUUUGGUGAGCUAUCCUGAAUGACUACUCAUUUUUUUCUAGAGGAGAAUUUCAUUUUAGAUAAGUGGUUUCAAUGAACUUUUGAAGAAUGAUGGUAAAUCAUACUAAACUCAUUAAACAGAUAGUCUGAAGACUUAAACGUUUUUGAUACAAUUUACAAACCAUGUUAAGCCAGUCUUAUUUUUGACCCCCUUUCUUCUUAUGUCUUUCUAUUGAUGUAUCAAAAACAGUGGUUUUUAUACUUUUUUUCCCCUUUUUGUGUACAACAGAGUGGUUUUUUCAAAUGAAAUGUUUCCAGAAGCCUGAGCUGAAAAGAGAAGAGGAUUGCUGGUUCAAGUAGGGAAGGAGCCCUAGAGCAGGUGUCUUCCAGAGUCCUAUAGCAGCCUCUGUGGCAUCUGUAUAGUUCAGGACAUGGUUUGAAAACUACCCACUUCGAAAUACUUUGUCCCCCAACAGAAGAUAAAAAUAAUGCUACAUUUAAAAGAAAAUUCAGAGGAAAUGACUGUUAUCUUUUCUCCUUAGUUCAAGAUAAAAUACUUGAAAAUACACAGACCUUUUAUAAGGUCUUUUGUGUGUGUUGGGGAGCGUAUUGGUAAUUUAAUCCAGAGUUGCUCUACCACUGAGCUACAUCUUCAGUCUUUUUUAUUUUUUGGGAUAGGAUCUAACAAAGUUGCUGGUCUUGAACUUGUGAUCCUUCUGCCUCAACCUCUGGAAUAGCUGGGAAGGUUUUUAAACAUUCUUGAUUAGCUUAUAUGAAAAGUAUCAGAAAGAAAAUUGUGAUGCAGUGUUUUUUUCUUAAUGUCAACUUAAGAUGUCAUUGACAGAAUGUAGAAUUUGAUUUCUUACUACUUAAUGACACCUCCCCCCAAAGGCAUAUACAAAUGUUUAUUUUGGAAAGUAGAUAACACAUUUAAGAGAGAAUGGGAGCAGUCUCAAAAAAGAGAUGCCUUGGGGUAAAGCAAGGAAUAUUCCUAGGGAGCAUGUGGGUUAUCUCCAGAGGGAGAGACAGCAACCCAUUAGUGUGGGCCACUCAUGUUUAUAGAGGGCAAGUGCUAGGGGAUGAACUAGAGGUGGAGCCAGAGUGGAGCUACACAGUUUUGCACCAGUUUCCCUUUGCUUGUGCAUUUCCUUAACAUGCAUGGGCCAAGGGCAUGUAGCUCAAGAUUGACAAUUGUGCUUUCUGCAUGUCAAUGGCUAGUGGGCAUUUCCUUUAAGACUCUCUCUCUUUAUCCUAAAUCCCUGUGUCCUAUGUAAUGACUUUUAAUAUUAUAUAAUAAGUAUUAUCUUAGAAAACCUGGUUAAAUCAAACUUUAAGAAAUUAAAACGUAUUUAUUCAGAAUAAUGGGUAUAAAUUUUUCUUCUUUUUUAUUUAUUUGUAUCCUCUGUUUUGGAGAAGGUCCCCAAAACACUUCUAGAUUUCUUCUACCCAUCAAAUGUUUGUUCUCUCCCUUCCCAAUAGGAAGCAACUACUAACCGCCUACCUGAGCACAAGUUUCAGAGAAAUUUUAAUCUACCUGUCCUUAACCACCUCAGUUCAUGCUGUCUGUUCAAAUAGAAUUUAUAAUUAAUUACUUAAGUAUCUUUUUAAAGAAAUAUCUUUAUAAAAAGAACUUUUAACAUCAUUUUGGAAGAAUUAAACCAACUCAUGUAAAUGCUGUAGGUAUAAAGUGCUGCUUAAUAUCAUUUACUAGAAUGUAGACAAAGUGGUCCUGAAUUCAUUGUUUAAUUCUCUGAAACUGCUUAAUAAAUCUGCUAACAUUGACAACAUUUAAGUAAUGCAUAAUGCAGUCACUUAAUCAUGUAAAAUGACUUUAAAUCGUAUCUUUAUUCUUAUUUUGCAUUUUUAUGGGAUUUUUAUUACAAUAUUAUUUGAUAGCUUAUUAAAAUUUACUAAGUUGAUUUCUCCUUAGGAAGAAAAAUUCUAAUGCAAAUAUAUUGAAAAAGUCUUAUUUUUUCUUUUUAGUAGUAAGAAUAUACAUUUCCCCUAAAUAACUUUAUCAUAAUCUUAUCCCCAAAAUUAUUGCUUUUUAAAUGCAAUGAUUUGGUAUAUUUAAAUAUUAUUUUAAAAACAUGUUCGGGCUUUAAUCUUUUUGGAGGUUUUAGAGCUAGUGAAAAGCCUAAUCCUGUCUAGUUUACCAUAAUGCAUCAUUUGAUAGAAGAGGUCAUUUUUUAAUAGCAGAAAUGCUUUAUAAUACUUGAUAAGCUUGUGCAUGGAUUUGUACAAGUGCUUUUUCUCUUUUUAAGAAGAAAAGAUCGAGAUCAAAAAUACCUACUGCUAAUAAAAAAGAUUAGUUAUGAUUAUAAGAAAUAUAGCUUUCCAUUGCUUUUUUUAUUAGUGCAUAUUAAUUUUACAACAUGAUGGGUUUCAUUGUGGUAUAUUCUUGACUUUGCUUUAUUUAAAUUUAAUUACAAAUAUAUAAGCUGUAACCCAAUUUCUUUCUUGCUUUUUUUUCUUUCAGUAAAUCUUGUCUCAUUUUGGCAUUGUUUCUCAUUUCAACUGUGUGUUCUUUGUAUAAAUCUUGCUCAGUCUGCAUGACAUUAGUGUUUUCAGCCUGCUUUGUAUUAAUGGCUUCUUACAUUUGAAUGUUUAUAAUUGGCAGUUCUCUUCAAUAAUAAUUCAAAUUAAAUGAUGCUGUUUCUGCAACAUAAUUAGAAAUAUUUUUAAACAUUAUUUUCAUAAUAUGUAAUUUUAAUUUAUGAAACAUUUCCAACAUAAAAUACUUGUUUUUCUUUUUUUUCCUAUUUAUAUAGAAGUGGUACACCAUCCCCCAAACGGACAUCCGUAGGUUCCAGGCCACCAGCAGUAAGAGGCAGCAGAGACCGUUUCACUGGGGAAUCAUACACAGUGCUAGGUAGGAUAAAACAAUAACUCUUAACAGUCUCAAAUUAAAGGCACCACAGCCACACUGAUAAAUUUUCUACUCCUCAGAGCUAGAGCAGUUUCC
This 7115-nucleotide long non-coding RNA is filed under the name Marmota monax (woodchuck). Lineage: Eukaryota; Metazoa; Chordata; Mammalia; Rodentia; Sciuridae. The record is from RNAcentral.